UGGUGUUGUGGUUUUUGACGAGCUUCGAUUUCUUGGUCAUCCAGUCGGGUUCCAGACGUCUUUGAUCGCGAAUCAGGUGUGAGAUUCGAACCUUAUCUAAUUUAUUUACGAGUUGUUGUUUCGGCAAUUCUUGUGUGUGCUCUAAACCGUUGAUUUUGGGUAUUUAGUUGUUAAGAAAGUAUGGGAAAUACUGCGUAUUCCAAUAUAUUUU
This 211-nucleotide long non-coding RNA is filed under the name Gossypium raimondii (Peruvian cotton). RNAcentral describes it as "long non-coding RNA (GRAI_LNC007199)". Lineage: Eukaryota; Viridiplantae; Streptophyta; Magnoliopsida; Malvales; Malvaceae. The record is from RNAcentral.